Molecule: ribosomal RNA, 274 nt
Filed under: uncultured bacterium
Lineage: Bacteria
Description: partial 16S ribosomal RNA
Rfam family: Bacterial small subunit ribosomal RNA
Source: RNAcentral
AUACGGAGGGAGCUAGCGUUGUUCGGAAUUACUGGGCGUAAAGCGCGCGUAGGCGGCUUUGCAAGUAGAGGGUGGAAUCCCAGGGCUUAACCCUGGAACUGCCUCCUAAACUGCAGAGCUAGAAUCCUGGAGAGGUGAGUGGAAUUCCUAGUGUAGAGGUGAAAUUCGUAGAUAUUAGGAAGAACACCAGUGGCGAAGGCGACUCACUGGACAGGUAUUGACGCUAAGGUGCGAAAGCGUGGGGAGCGAACAGGAUUAGAAACCCUAGUAGUCC